Molecule: long non-coding RNA, 403 nt
Organism: Rana temporaria (common frog)
Lineage: Eukaryota; Metazoa; Chordata; Amphibia; Anura; Ranidae
Exons: 3
Source: RefSeq, a predicted model, not a curated record
CGUCAGAGUGCCUGGGGCGCAUAUAAGCAGCACACACACCAGACAUAAUCCGCCCAGGCUCCAGCAGGCAGACCGUGCCUUAACCCAGCCACCACAUCCAGGGAACUGUCUUUUUUGGACUCCCCCACUUUUUGUAUACUGGUUGGUGGUGUGCUGUGCGGCCGUCUCUUCCCUGCAUCCCCGUGGGUAUUCCUUUAUUCCUUCUUUCUUUUUUGGAGGUUUUAAAAGAUAAUAUAGUAUGCAUUCUUGUCCCUGAAGAAGCCCGAUGGGCAAAACAUGUUGGACCCCCUGCAUACAUCACUUUGUCACCCCUCAAAUUGGUGAAAUAUAUCAUCUUAUGUGAUCAUGUUUUUUAUUCCAUAUAUUUUUGUAUAUGUUCAAUGUUUAAUUAAAUUAUAUUUUU